CUGGGCGUAAAGGGUGCGCAGGUGGUUUGUUAAGUUAUUUGUGAAAUCCCCGGGCUUAACCUGGGGCGGUCAAGUAAAACUGGCAGGCUUGAGUAUAGGAGAGGGUAGUGGAAUUUCCGGUGUAGCGGUGAAAUGCGUAGAUAUCGGAAGGAACACCAGUGGCGAAGGCGACUACCUGGCCUAAUACUGACACUGAGGCACGAAAGCGUGGGGAGCAAACAGGAUUAGAUACCCUGGUAGUCCACGCCGUAAACGAUGUCAACUAGCUGUU
This 271-nucleotide ribosomal RNA is filed under the name uncultured Legionella sp. RNAcentral's name for it is "partial 16S ribosomal RNA". It matches the Rfam family "Bacterial small subunit ribosomal RNA", at positions 554 to 824 of the family's 1533-position model. Lineage: Bacteria; Pseudomonadati; Pseudomonadota; Gammaproteobacteria; Legionellales; Legionellaceae. The record is from RNAcentral.